This is a long non-coding RNA of Mercenaria mercenaria, 892 nucleotides long. RefSeq lists it as uncharacterized. The transcript is spliced from 3 exons. The record is from RefSeq and is a predicted model, not a curated record. Lineage: Eukaryota; Metazoa; Mollusca; Bivalvia; Venerida; Veneridae.
UGGAAAAACAAAAAAAAAAAAAAAAAAAAACAAACAAAAAAAACAAAAACAAAAACACAGAUACUGAACGAUAAUGAUCUUACAAACUCAAGGUUUCAAGCUAUUGACGAUGACCACUGAGCUAUCGUGUCUUGCGUAUAUUAUACGUAUACACUAUUUAAAAUAAACUAUUUUAAUUGCUGGUUACUUUCCCAGGGGUGGUAUAGUACGUCAUCAACAGGUGCGCGCAACACUUCCCGAUGCGGCUUUUUUGUGUCAAAACAUCUCGAUUCGGUACAUGAAAGAUGAAAAAGGAAACAAAACUUCUAGUCUGCAUCAAUGGAAUUGUCAAUAUAUGUUAAAAAGGAUUGCUGAGUGAUCGGCAUGCAAGACAUUAUUGACAUAUUAUAUUUUCCAAAAGCUGUACGACAUAAUAUUUGAGAAGUGGAGAACAUCCUCUAACGGAAUUACCCAAGACAAGGAUUUCAACGCUCAACUAGGUCUCCGUACCAAACUUUGUCACGACUAUGUCGGUUGCUGUUUGAAGGGCAACGUGGUCAUCACAAUUGCUCGGGAAAAAAUGAGAAAUUACUGUAUCGCGCCAACGAAAUGUUCUUAUUAAGGAGUUUUAGAUGUGCGCAGGGAAAGACCAAGAGUGACUACAACCGAAUUAUAAUUACCACGUUGUAGAUUGGGACAUUGAAUCUACACUAGAAAGCGGUUGAGGAUUUAACAUUUUACUAAUGUUCAGAUUUUGCUUGCAAAUCUUAGUGCACCCAAUUACAUGUUAAAACUCGAAGUGAGCUUGAACAGUGGUAGAACAAUUUUACUUGCAAUGUAAAUUACUUUGCUUUUCUUAAACUGUUUAGUUGUUGAAAAUGUUGUUGUAUAAAAGAUUAUUUAAAAUAGGAAA